AUUGAACGCUGGCGGCAUGCCUUACACAUGCAAGUCGAACGGUAACGGGCCUUCGGGUGCCGACGAGUGGCGAACGGGUGAGUAAUACAUCGGAACGUGCCCGAUCGUGGGGGAUAACGAGGCGAAAGCUUUGCUAAUACCGCAUACGAUCUACGGAUGACAGCAGGGGACCGCAAGGCCUUGCGCGGACGGAGCGGCCGAUGGCAGAUUAGGUAGUUGGUGGGAUAAAAGCUUACCAAGCCGACGAUCUGUAGCUGGUCUGAGAGGAUGAUCAGCCACACUGGAACUGAGACACGGCCCAGACUCCUACGGGAGGCAGCAGUGGGGAAUUUUGGACAAUGGGCGCAAGCCUGAUCCAGCCAUGCCGCGUGCAGGAAGAAGGCCUUCGGGUUGUAAACUGCUUUUGUACGGAAAGAAAAGCAUUCUUUUAAUACAGGAGGGUCAUGACGGUACCGAAAGAAUAAGCACCGGCUAACUACGUG
Molecule: ribosomal RNA, 482 nt
Filed under: uncultured bacterium
Lineage: Bacteria
Description: partial 16S ribosomal RNA
Rfam family: Bacterial small subunit ribosomal RNA
Source: RNAcentral